RNAcentral lists this ribosomal RNA (465 nucleotides) under Vreelandella stevensii. RNAcentral's name for it is "partial 16S ribosomal RNA". It matches the Rfam family "Bacterial small subunit ribosomal RNA", at positions 338 to 795 of the family's 1533-position model. Lineage: Bacteria; Pseudomonadati; Pseudomonadota; Gammaproteobacteria; Oceanospirillales; Halomonadaceae. The record is from RNAcentral.
CCUACGGGAGGCAGCAGUGGGGAAUAUUGGACAAUGGGCGAAAGCCUGAUCCAGCCAUGCCGCGUGUGUGAAGAAGGCCUUCGGGUUGUAAAGCACUUUCAGUGGGGAAGAAAGCCUUGGGGCUAAUACCCUCGAGGAAGGACAUCACCCACAGAAGAAGCACCGGCUAACUCCGUGCCAGCAGCCGCGGUAAUACGGAGGGUGCGAGCAUUAAUCGGAAUUACUGGGCGUAAAGCGCGCGUAGGCGGUCUGAUAAGCCGGUUGUGAAAGCCCCGGGCUCAACCUGGGAACGGCAUCCGGAACUGUCAGGCUAGAGUGCAGGAGAGGAAGGUAGAAUUCCCGGUGUAGCGGUGAAAUGCGUAGAGAUCGGGAGGAAUACCAGUGGCGAAGGCGGCCUUCUGGACUGACACUGACGCUGAGGUGCGAAAGCGUGGGUAGCAAACAGGAUUAGAUACCCGAGUAGUC